UACGAAGGGGGCUAGCGUUGUUCGGAUUUACUGGGCGUAAAGCGCACGUAGGCGGAUCUUUAAGUCAGAGGUGAAAUCCCAAGGCUCAACCUUGGAACUGCCUUUGAUACUGGGGAUCUUGAGUCCGGGAGAGGUGAGUGGAACUGCGAGUGUAGAGGUGAAAUUCGUAGAUAUCGGGAGGAACACCAGUGGCGAAGGCGGCGACCUGGGCCAAUAUUGACGCUGAGGUGCGAAAGCGUGGGGAGCAAACAGGG
RNAcentral lists this ribosomal RNA (254 nucleotides) under uncultured bacterium. Its description in RNAcentral is "partial 16S ribosomal RNA". It matches the Rfam family "Bacterial small subunit ribosomal RNA", at positions 524 to 777 of the family's 1533-position model. The record is from RNAcentral.